Molecule: ribosomal RNA, 506 nt
Filed under: Macrostylis matildae
Lineage: Eukaryota; Metazoa; Arthropoda; Malacostraca; Isopoda; Macrostylidae
Description: partial 12S ribosomal RNA
Source: RNAcentral
ACCUUGAAAAAUUAAAGGGACUGAGCUACACAAGAUACAGAAUCUAGCGAUAAAGAUGAAAUUAAGUCAAUAGAAACUACCCGUGAAAACUCUCAAAAAUAGAGACAACUAAAACGGAUUAGAUACCCGUGUAAGCUCUAAUAAACACUAUGAUCCCAGGUACAUACUAAGUUUCCUUAGAAAACCUAAAAAAUAUGGCGGUAGUAGACACCUACAGAGAGGCUUGAAUUUAUAACCCGACAAUCCCCGUUGCAUCUUACCUUAGUCUUAGACUUGUAUACCGUCGUCUGAGUUUCACCAAAACGUGAAAACUUAAAUGUUUUAAAAGAAAUAUACGUCAGAUCCAGGCACAGUAGUACUUUGGACUUGUUCAAGCUUCAAUAAAUAUUUUUAUGACAAAAUAAGAUGAAACCUUUAUCUUUAAGAGAACUUGUAUUCAAUUACCCCUAAAAAUGGGGUCAUAAAUAAUGGUAAGCUACUGCGUACAAAUCGCCCGUCACUCUCUC